GACGAACGCUGGCGGCGUGCCUAAUACAUGCAAGUCGAACGAGUGGCGAACGGGUGAGUAAUAUAUCGGAACGUACCGAGUAAUGGGGGAUAACCAAUCGAAAGAUUGGCUAAUACCGCAUAUUAUUCGAGCGGCCGAUAACUGAUUAGCUAGUUGGUGGGGUAAAGGCCUACCAAGGCGACGAUCAGUAGCGGGUCUGAGAGGACGAUCCGCCACACUGGGACUGAGACACGGCCCAGACUCCUACGGGAGGCAGCAGUGGGGAAUUUUGGACAAUGGGGGCAACCCUGAUCCAGCCAUGCCGCGUGUAUGAAGAAGGCCUUCGGGUUGUAAAGUACUUUUGUUAGGGAAGCGGUACCUAAAGAAUAAGCACCGGCUAACUACGUGCCAGCAGCCGCGGUAAUAC
RNAcentral lists this ribosomal RNA (406 nucleotides) under uncultured bacterium. RNAcentral's name for it is "partial 16S ribosomal RNA". It matches the Rfam family "Bacterial small subunit ribosomal RNA", at positions 28 to 526 of the family's 1533-position model. The record is from RNAcentral.